CUUCGUGUUGCUGGGAAACACGUGAGCAAAAUCUAUCAUUCGGACUUCUACGUUUGCACUUUCCUUGAUCUCUGCUGGCAUGUGACAGAAAACUUUUUCCAGUUGCGGUAUAACGUUUCCAUUCAGAUGCUCCUGUGUGAUGCAAGUGCUGCUUUUCCACAUGUUGUCUUGCUCCAAGCUUCCAACUUUUAGUGAGAGCUGGCUGUGGUGCCUCUUUGAGUAUGCCUUUUUGUGAAGUGCGUAAAAUUUGGACAAGCCUUUACUGACAGAGGCCUCAAUCUUCCCAUUCUCUGUAGAACUUAUGACAUGAAUGUUGUUGUUAUACUCCAGUAUGUCUCCACCUGAUAACAGUCCUUUGGGCACUCCUCUCUUCUCUGCCAAGGUGACGUCGCUCAGCCGCACGGUUGGGCCCUGACUUGAGCCCUCGUAAACAAACAGCAAAGAGCUUGCAUAAAAGUUGAGCUGCUUUUGGCCCUCAAACCACUUCAAAAUCUUUUCAACCUUCUGGAUGCUGGCAGCGAUGGCAUCUUUUCUCAAGCAGUACCCGUUGUGGAAGAACUUGGAGAUGCCAUCCUUCACUGUUUCCUUGGUCAAGCUCCUCCCAUAGUGCUGGUUUUGCAUCUCGUAGCUGUCGGAAGAGACGUGGUAAACCCUCAUGCCAAGUACCAGGAAGCCAAUC
Molecule: long non-coding RNA, 679 nt
Filed under: Gallus gallus (chicken)
Lineage: Eukaryota; Metazoa; Chordata; Aves; Galliformes; Phasianidae
Source: RNAcentral